RNAcentral lists this long non-coding RNA (1179 nucleotides) under Anser brachyrhynchus (Pink-footed goose). RNAcentral describes it as "lncRNA (ENSABRG00000002337.1)". Lineage: Eukaryota; Metazoa; Chordata; Aves; Anseriformes; Anatidae. The record is from RNAcentral.
AUGCUGGGGGGAGGAAAAAAGGACCGGGAGGGGAGGCGGGGGGGGGCGCUGACCCGGCGGGGAGGCAACCGGGGAGCGGCCCCCGGGCAGGGCACGGCCGCGGGGCUCCCCCCCCAAACCCUGCCACCCCCCUGUCCCCCGGGCGGGCUCCGGAGCCGCCUUCCUCUGCCUCUCCUCAUCCCUCACCCUCCUCAUCCUCCUCCUCCUCCCGCUCCCGGCCCACGCUCACCUGCCGCCGGCUGCCCCCAGGGCUCCGCUCGCACCGGGGCGCCCCCGGCCCCGCCUCGCCGCCGGCCUCCAGCCCCCAGCCCCCCUUUUUGCUCCCCUUUCCUCCCCCUUUUCCCCCCCGUUCCCCUCCCCGGCCCCACAGCUCCUCCUCCUCCUCCUCCCCCCCCAACCCCACACCGGGGCCGGGCCCCGGCGCUCCCCUCCUGCUCUCCUCAGCGGGUCGUUACCUGCCGUGGCGGCGCAGAGCGGGGCCCCGGGGCCUGUGGCAGGCGGAGAAGAAGAAGAAGGAGGAGGUGGAGGAGGAGGAGGAGGCGGCGGCGGGCUCCGUCCCGCUGCUGCCGUCCCCGAGCGAGGCGGGCGGGCCGGGGCCGGGCCCUGCCCCGUGAGGCGGUACGGGCGGGGGGGGGGGGGGGGGGGGGGGGGGGGGGGGGCGGCCGCUCCGUCACUAGGCAACAAGCCGCAGCGCCCCGGCGGACCGCGCCGCGGGCUCCUCCCUGUAUCCUUCCGCCCGCGGGGCGGCGCGGAUCCCGCCGCCGACGGGCGGCUGUAGGGCCGAACGUGUGGUUCUCAGAGAUCCGCAGCGAGCAUUCCAGAAUUACCAUGUUGGAAAUGUCUGAGGUUUUGGCAGCUUGCUGUCUUACAAAUAGUUCAUGAAUACAAUUAACCAUCCUUGAGUAGCCUGCAGCAUCAGCAUCCAAUCCUUGCCUUACUCGUCAGAAAUAUAAUUAUUGUUCCCCAGUAAUUCCGCCAAGCAUUUUUUUCAUAUAUUGGCCAUAUUUUCAGCCAGUGAAAAUGCUGAGAAUAGAGUUGGUUGCAUUAUACUAGCUGCCGAUCUGGCCAUACAUUUUCGAAUGAAGACUUUAAAAAGACAACUAUACUAAGAGAGUUAUUCCGUCUCUAUUAAUGAUUUACAUGAAAUUAAAAAUGAAAUAAACACAUGAAAAUAUAUCA